CCGGAUAUGGCGCAGUUUGGUAGCGCGCUACCUUGGGGUGGUAGAGGCCGUGGGUUCAAGUCCCGCUAUUCGGAUCA
This 77-nucleotide transfer RNA is filed under the name bacterium 1XD42-1. Its description in RNAcentral is "tRNA-Pro". It matches the Rfam family "tRNA". Rfam says of the family: Transfer RNA (tRNA) molecules are approximately 80 nucleotides in length. Their secondary structure includes four short double-helical elements and three loops (D, anti-codon, and T loops). Further hydrogen bonds mediate the characteristic L-shaped molecular structure. tRNAs have two regions of fundamental functional importance: the anti-codon, which is responsible for specific mRNA codon recognition, and the 3' end, to which the tRNAs corresponding amino acid is attached (by aminoacyl-tRNA synthetases). tRNAs cope with the degeneracy of the genetic code in two manners: having more than one tRNA (with a specific anti-codon) for a particular amino acid; and 'wobble' base-pairing, i.e. permitting non-standard base-pairing at the 3rd anti-codon position. The record is from RNAcentral. RNAcentral also lists the same sequence under 1 other name.